GUGUGCGCGCUUCAGGGCCAGUUUCAGCAGAACGCUCUAUUUUUUGCUUACUGCUAAAUCCUCCUUCUAGAUACACGUUUCAGUGGUAUUUUUCGUAAUUCACUGUGCCAGUGAAUGUAGCCCAUUUCUUCCCUUUCCAUACGCUACACCUCGACCUGACGUACUGGGCUAUGCCAAUUGUGCUUACUGAAGGGCCUUCAUAGGGUAAGCUGACGACGGCGGUAUAUAGGCGGGGAGAACAAGAAAAGGUGAGGUUGAACGGGGGUUAUCGGUUUUAGAACAGGCUCCUCUAGGUGGGUCUAAAGCACCGCCAAGUCCUUUGGGUUUUAAGCUGUUGCUCGUAGUACCCGGGCGGAUAGUGGGUGU
Molecule: ribosomal RNA, 366 nt
Filed under: Cephalopholis microprion (freckled hind)
Lineage: Eukaryota; Metazoa; Chordata; Actinopteri; Perciformes; Serranidae
Description: partial 12S ribosomal RNA
Source: RNAcentral